Molecule: non-coding RNA, 81 nt
Organism: Fomitopsis betulina (razor strop fungus)
Lineage: Eukaryota; Fungi; Basidiomycota; Agaricomycetes; Polyporales; Fomitopsidaceae
Source: the annotation of a GenBank genome assembly
GCAUUAAUGGGGUAGUGGUAACCUGGGUCGUUGCCAUCGGCAAUCGUCGACCCGCCGGGGGUUCAAUUCCCCCUUAAUGCA